Molecule: ribosomal RNA, 495 nt
Filed under: Triticum aestivum (bread wheat)
Lineage: Eukaryota; Viridiplantae; Streptophyta; Magnoliopsida; Poales; Poaceae
Description: partial small subunit ribosomal RNA
Source: RNAcentral
AUGCACAUGCGCCACUGCUUAUUCUUCUUCAAUACUAGGACUGGAUUAGCCAGCCAUUCUGGAAAAAACACUUCCAUGAUGAAUCCGGCUGCUAGAAGCCGGGCUAUUUUUUCUCAGACAACUCUUCUCUUCUCUUCCGACAGGCGGCUCAAGGGCUGCCUGACCGGCUUGGUGUCAGGUUGGACAUGUAACUUGUGCUCGGCGAAAUCCGUCGGAACACCCGGCAUGUCUUUGGGAGACCAUGAGAAGAUGUCCCGAUUCUCACGGAGGAAAUCGACGAGCUCGCUUUCCUAUUUGUUGUCAAGGUUUGCACCUAUGACAGCGUGCCUCUCCGGGUGCUCCGGGUCCAGGGGUAUCUUCUUUGUUUCCUUGGCCGGCUUGAACGAGCCCUCAACCUCCGACUCCUGGUGGAUGAGUGACAUUUCCGGCUUCUUGCCUGCCAACACCACCACUCGGUCAAGGAGUCGCUUCUCAGCUGCGAUCACGAGGGACUAG